RNAcentral lists this ribosomal RNA (858 nucleotides) under uncultured euryarchaeote. RNAcentral describes it as "bacterial SSU rRNA". It matches the Rfam family "Archaeal small subunit ribosomal RNA", at positions 1 to 879 of the family's 1478-position model. The record is from RNAcentral. Lineage: Archaea; Methanobacteriati; Methanobacteriota.
UUCCGGUUGAUCCUGCCGGAGGCGACCGCUUUGGGAGUUCGAUUAAGCCAUGCGAGUCGUGAGUCUUAGGGACUCGGCAUACUGCUCAGUAACACGUGGAUAACCUGCCCUAUCGUCUGGAAUAACCUCGGGAAACUGAGAAUAAGGCCGGAUAGUUCACAAUGCCUGGAACGGUUUGUGAAUCAAGGUAGGAUGGGUCUGCGGCGUAUCAGGUUGUAGGGGGUGUAAAGGACCCCCUAGCCUUCGACGCGUACGGGUGUUGGGAGACAUAGCCCGGAGAUGGAUUCUGAGACACGAAUCCAGACCCUACGGGGUGCAGCAGGCGCGAAAACUUCACACUGCAGGAAACUGUGAUGAGGGAACUCCUAGUGCAUGCACUAUGUGUAUGUAGAUCCUACUCUUAACAAGUAGAGGGAAAGGGCUGGGAAAGACCGGUGCCAGCCGCCGCGGUAAUACCGGCAGCUCAAGUGGUCGUCGCUUUUAUCGGGCCUAAAACGUCCGUAGCCUGUUUGGUAAAUCUGUGGGUAAAUCAAUCCGCUCAACGGAUUGAAUUCUGCAGAGACUGCCAGACUAGGGACCGGGAGAGGUGUGGGAUACUCGAGGGGUAGGGGUAAAAUCCUGUCAUCCUUCGAGGACCACCAGUUGCGAAGGCGCCACACUGGAACGGAUCCGACGGUCAGGGACGAAGCCUAGGGGCACGAACCGGAUUAGAUACCCGGGUAGUCCUAGGUGUAAACGCUGUGAACUUGGUGUCGGGGGUCCGCAAGGGGUCCCCGGUGCCGGAGUGAAGAUGUUAAGUUCACUGCCUGGGGAGUACGGUCGCAAGGCUGAAACUUAAAGGAAUUGGCGAGGCAGCAC